RNAcentral lists this ribosomal RNA (1483 nucleotides) under Vibrio parahaemolyticus. Its description in RNAcentral is "partial 23S ribosomal RNA". It matches the Rfam family "Bacterial large subunit ribosomal RNA", at positions 197 to 1733 of the family's 2925-position model. The record is from RNAcentral. Lineage: Bacteria; Pseudomonadati; Pseudomonadota; Gammaproteobacteria; Vibrionales; Vibrionaceae.
AACAUCUAAGUACCCCGAGGAAAAGAAAUCAACCGAGAUUCCGAAAGUAGCGGCGAGCGAAAUUGGACUAGCCCUUAAGCUUUACACGCGUUAGACGAACGGUCUGGAAAGUCCGACGAUACAGGGUGAUAGUCCCGUAGUUGACGACGUGUGUUCAGUGAAAUCGAGUAGGGCGGGACACGUGAUAUCCUGUCUGAAUAUGGGGGGACCAUCCUCCAAGGCUAAAUACUACUGACUGACCGAUAGUGAACCAGUACCGUGAGGGAAAGGCGAAAAGAACCCCUGUGAGGGGAGUGAAAUAGAACCUGAAACCGUGUACGUACAAGCAGUAGGAGCACCUUCGUGGUGUGACUGCGUACCUUUUGUAUAAUGGGUCAGCGACUUAUAUUCAGUGGCAAGGUUAACCAUCUAGGGGAGCCGUAGGGAAACCGAGUCUUAACUGGGCGUUCAGUCUCUGGAUAUAGACCCGAAACCAGGUGAUCUAGCCAUGGGCAGGUUGAAGGUUGAGUAACAUCAACUGGAGGACCGAACCGACUAAUGUUGAAAAAUUAGCGGAUGACUUGUGGCUAGGGGUGAAAGGCCAAUCAAACCUGGAGAUAGCUGGUUCUCCCCGAAAGCUAUUUAGGUAGCGCCUCGGACGAAUACUACUGGGGGUAGAGCACUGUUAAGGCUAGGGGGUCAUCCCGACUUACCAACCCUUUGCAAACUCCGAAUACCAGUAAGUACUAUCCGGGAGACACACGGCGGGUGCUAACGUCCGUCGUGGAGAGGGAAACAACCCAGACCGCCAGCUAAGGUCCCAAAUUACUACUAAGUGGGAAACGAUGUGGGAAGGCUCAGACAGCCAGGAUGUUGGCUUAGAAGCAGCCAUCAUUUAAAGAAAGCGUAAUAGCUCACUGGUCGAGUCGGCCUGCGCGGAAGAUGUAACGGGGCUAAGUAGUAAACCGAAGCUGCGGCAAUAUACUUUUGUAUAUUGGGUAGGGGAGCGUUCUGUAAGCGGUUGAAGGUGUGUGGUAACGCAUGCUGGACGUAUCAGAAGUGCGAAUGCUGACAUGAGUAACGAUAAAGGGGGUGAAAAACCUCCUCGCCGGAAGACCAAGGGUUCCUGUCCAACGUUAAUCGGGGCAGGGUAAGUCGACCCCUAAGGCGAGGCCGAAAGGCGUAGUCGAUGGGAAACGGGUUAAUAUUCCCGUACUUCUUACAAUUGCGAUGGGGGGACGGAGAAGGCUAGGUGGGCCUGGCGACGGUUGUCCAGGUUCAAGUGCGUAGGCUUAAGAGUUAGGUAAAUCCGGCUCUUUUUAAGGCUGAGACACGACGUCGAGCACCUACGGGUGUGAAGUCAUUGAUGCCAUGCUUCCAGGAAAAGCCUCUAAGCUUCAGAUUGUAAGGAAUCGUACCCCAAACCGACACAGGUGGUCGGGUAGAGAAUACCAAGGCGCUUGAGAGAACUCGGGUGAAGGAACUAGGCAAAAUGGUACCGUAA